CAUUAUGAAGCUAAUUUUAGCAUUAACCUUUUAAGUUAAAGAUUAGGAGGUANGAUCUCCUCAUAAUGA
RNAcentral lists this transfer RNA (69 nucleotides) under Lariscus insignis (three-striped ground squirrel). RNAcentral describes it as "tRNA-Lys". The record is from RNAcentral. Lineage: Eukaryota; Metazoa; Chordata; Mammalia; Rodentia; Sciuridae.